Molecule: ribosomal RNA, 490 nt
Filed under: uncultured bacterium
Lineage: Bacteria
Description: partial 16S ribosomal RNA
Rfam family: Bacterial small subunit ribosomal RNA
Source: RNAcentral
GAUGAACGCUGGCGGCGUGCCUAAUACAUGCAAGUCGAGCGGCAGCGCGAGUAGUUUACUACUUGGCGGCGAGCGGCGGACGGCUGAGUAACGCGUAGGAACGUACCCCAAACUGAGGGAUAAGCACCAGAAAUGGUGUCUAAUACCGCAUGUGCUCCACGGAGUAAAGCUUCGGCGGUUUGGGAACGGCCUGCGUCCGAUUAGCUUGUUGGUGAGGUAAAAGCUCACCAAGGCGGCGAUCCGUAACUGGUCUGAGAGGAUGAUCAGUCACACUGGAACUGAGACACGGUCCAGACUCCUACGGGAGGCAGCAGUGGGGAAUAUUGGACAAUGGGGGGAACCCUGAUCCAGCCAUGCCGCGUGUGUGAAGAAGGUCUUAGGAUUGUAAAGCACUUUAAGUUGGGAGGAAGAGCAGUUAACUAAUAUUUGACUGUUUUGACGUUACCGACAGAAUAAGCACCGGCUAACUCCGUGCCAGCCGCCGCAGUAA